CCUACGGGUGGCAGCAGUGAGGAAUAUUGGUCAAUGGACGAGAGUCUGAACCAGCCAAGUAGCGUGAAGGAUGACUGCCCUAUGGGUUGUAAACUUCUUUUAUAUGGGAAUAAAAUGUUCCACGUGUGGGAUUUUGUAUGUACCAUAUGAAUAAGGAUCGGCUAACUCCGUGCCAGCAGCCGCGGUAAUACGGAGGAUCCGAGCGUUAUCCGGAUUUAUUGGGUUUAAAGGGAGCGUCGGUGGAUUGUUAAGUCAGUUGUGAAAGUUUGCGGCUCAACCGUAAAAUUGCAGUUGAAACUGGCAGUCUUGAGUACAGUAGAGGUGGGCGGAAUUCGUGGUGUAGCGGUGAAAUGCUUAGAUAUCACGAAGAACUCCGAUUGCGAAGGCAGUUCACUGGACUGCAACUGACACUGAGGCUCGAAAGUGUGGGUAUCAAACAGGAUUAGAUACCCUAGUAGUC
This 460-nucleotide ribosomal RNA is filed under the name uncultured bacterium. RNAcentral's name for it is "partial 16S ribosomal RNA". It matches the Rfam family "Bacterial small subunit ribosomal RNA", at positions 338 to 795 of the family's 1533-position model. The record is from RNAcentral.